RNAcentral lists this ribosomal RNA (492 nucleotides) under uncultured bacterium. RNAcentral's name for it is "partial 16S ribosomal RNA". It matches the Rfam family "Bacterial small subunit ribosomal RNA", at positions 29 to 507 of the family's 1533-position model. The record is from RNAcentral.
AGUGAACGCUGGCGGUAUGCCUAACACAUGCAAGUCGAACGGCAGCACAGUAAGAGCUUGCUCUUACUGGUGGCGAGUGGCGGACGGGUGAGGAAUACAUCGGAAUCUACUUUUUCGUGGGGGAUAACGUAGGGAAACUUACGCUAAUACCUCAUACGACCUACGGGGGAAAGCAGGGGAUCUUCGGACCUUGCGCGAUUGAAUGAGCCGAUGUCGGAUUAGCUAGUUGGCGGGGUAAAGGCCCACCAAGGCGACGAUCCGUAGCUGGUCUGAGAGGAUGAUCAGCCACACUGGAACUGAGACACGGUCCAGACUCCUACGGGAGGCAGCAGUGGGGAAUAUUGGACAAUGGGCGCAAGCCUGAUCCAGCCAUACCGCGUGGGUGAAGAAGGCCUUCGGGUUGUAAAGCCCUUUUGUUGGGAAAGAAAAGCAGCAGGUUAAUACCCCGCUGUUCUGACGGUACCCAAAGAAUAAGCACCGGCUAACUUCGUG